CAAAGGGAUUACCGGUGGCGGAUGGGCAUGCGGCGCAUUAGCUAGUCGGCGGGGUAACGGCCCACCGAGGCGACGAUGCGUAGGGGUUCUGAGAGGAAGGUCCCCCACACUGGUACUGAGACACGGACCAGACUCCUACGGGAGGCAGCAGUGAGGAAUAUUGGUCAAUGGGCGCGAGCCUGAACCAGCCAAGUCGCGUGAGGGAUGACGGUCCUACGGAUUGUAAACCUCUUUUGCCGGGGAGCAAGCGUGCGUUCGUGAACGCGCGUCGAGAGUACCCGGAGAAAAAGCAUCGGCUAACUCCGUGCCAGCAGCCGCGGUAAUACGGAGGAUGCGAGCGUUAUCCGGAUUUAUUGGGUUUAAAGGGUGCGUAGGCGGGAUGCCAAGUCAGCGGUAAAAAUGCGGUGCUCAACGCCGUCGAGCCGUUGAAACUGGCGUUCUUGAGUGGGCGAGAAGUAUGCGGAAUGCGUGGUGUAGCGGUGAAAUGCAUAGAUAUCACGCAGAACUCCGAUUGCGAAGGCAGCAUACCGGCGCCCUACUGACGCUGAGGCACGAAAGCGUGGGUAUCGAACAGGACUAGAUACCCUGGUAGUCCACGCAGUAAACGAUGAAUGCUAACUGUCCGGCUCGAAUGAGCGCUGG
This 642-nucleotide ribosomal RNA is filed under the name uncultured bacterium. RNAcentral's name for it is "bacterial SSU rRNA". It matches the Rfam family "Bacterial small subunit ribosomal RNA", at positions 202 to 842 of the family's 1533-position model. The record is from RNAcentral.